CGGGAAUAUAAAUUAUAGAUGUACGAGUAGAGGCCGUAGACGCAUGGUUGACGAGGUUUGGAAGUUUUGGUUUCGCCGUGAGUCGUGCACAGACAGCAAAAUGUUGCUUAUCAUCAUGGCAGUAAGUUUCUGGGGAUCGGCCUGCUGACAAAGGACCACCUUGUUUACGAGUUGGCAAUAAGGCGUCAAUCGAUUGAGGGUAGUGUCCCGGAACUGGAAGCCCAUUUGCGCGCUGCCGUUCUUCAGCCGGUUGACUUCACGUCGGCGGUGGUGGGUGAGCCAGGAGCGGCAACCGAAUUUUUGUUUGAGGCUAUUAAUGGCCUCGAUGACACUAUUUCUUCUGAAAGGAACCCAACAGUCAGCUGCAUAAGAAAUUGGUUGCGACGUCUUGCUGAUUGUUGCUGAGAGAACGAG
Molecule: long non-coding RNA, 414 nt
Organism: Schistocerca cancellata (South American locust)
Lineage: Eukaryota; Metazoa; Arthropoda; Insecta; Orthoptera; Acrididae
Exons: 3
Source: RefSeq, a predicted model, not a curated record